This 484-nucleotide ribosomal RNA is filed under the name uncultured bacterium. Its description in RNAcentral is "partial 16S ribosomal RNA". It matches the Rfam family "Bacterial small subunit ribosomal RNA", at positions 30 to 507 of the family's 1533-position model. The record is from RNAcentral.
AUUGAACGCUGGCGGCAUGCUUUACACAUGCAAGUCGAACGGUAACAGGGUGCUUGCACCGCUGACGAGUGGCGAACGGGUGAGUAAUGCAUCGGAAUGUACCGUGUAAUGGGGGAUAGCUCGGCGAAAGCCGGAUUAAUACCGCACACGCCCUGAGGGGGAAAGUGGGGGACCGAAAGGCCUCACGUUAUACGAGCAGCCGAUGUCUGAUUAGCUAGUUGGUGAGGUAAAGGCUCACCAAGGCGUCGAUCAGUAGCGGGUCUGAGAGGAUGAUCCGCCACACUGGGACUGAGACACGGCCCAGACUCCUACGGGAGGCAGCAGUGGGGAAUUUUGGACAAUGGGCGCAAGCCCGAUCCAGCCAUGCCGCGUGUCUGAAGAAGGCCUUCGGGUUGUAAAGGACUUUUGUCCGGGAGCAAAUCCUAGUGGUUAAUAACCGCUGGGUCUGAGAGUACCGGAAGAAUAAGCACCGGCUAACUACGUG